AGUUUUUUCCCUGUCAUUUAAUUUGUCAACGAUUAACCUUACAAAAGUUGCAUUCUCUAGAUUUUCGGCAUUAUUUUGUGCAUGAAAAGGAUUAUCACGUUCAUUUAGAGAACGCAAAUCAAAUAACAACUUUCCAAUUUGAGAUAAUAAUGGACCGAUCUCGUAGUAAAAGUUACCAGUCGGAAAAUUAUUAUCUAUUAAACAAUUUUUUAAAUUGCAUAAAAAAUACAUCUGUUCCUGAACAACUUGUCGCUGAUUGACUAUUUGAGAACUUAUCAAAGAUCGUUUCUCGUGUUCCUCUGCUUUGAAAUCAUUAGGUUUUAGGUUGUCAAAUACCACAAUUGGCGAAGUUUUUAGUUUGCGACAAUACCUUGAUAGUUUUAAGGCCCAUAAAACAUGUUGAUAAUUGGUGUGCAAUGGCGUAUUUGGAGACCGAAAAAAUCUGUAUAAUAAAAGAUUUCCAUCUACUGCUAGAACAGGAUAAUAUUUAGAAAAAAAUUCUGGUUGAAGCCAUCUUAUACCCUCAGACGCGACCUUUCUAAUGAUAGGUAGCAAACCAUGAACGCCCAUCAAUUACUUGAAAUAGAUUUUUCUUUUGUGAGUCGUAUAAUCAUAAGUGUAACAAAUAUGUAUUAGAAUGAACGUCUUUUUAGAAGUUAAGUCAUGGUUGAACUUAUGAUGCACAUAAAGAUGGAAAUGCAAACACUUUAGCACCCACAGCUUAUGGUACGUUCAAAUGACGCCAAUACCGUUUCUUCUUUAAUUGAAAGAGUUCGAAAACCAGAUUCUUCUGUAAUGUCUAAUGACAGCACAUAGAACAGUAUCUAGAAACUCCCAAACAUGAAGAGUUUAGUUACUUGUCUCAUUAACUUUUUGAUCUCUAUUCUCACAAAAAAAAAAACGAUAAAAAGUUAACAAAGCGUCAGAAAAAAACUACUUUAGCUAUUUUGUAUACAUAUAUCAAUCACCUAUUGGAUUUUAUCGACGAUUUAAAAAUUCGAUUUUUUUGAGUAACCCUAAACCCUCAAAAUUUUUUGUGUAUAUAAUCUCAAAACUUUUACUUUAUUCUAUAGGCAGCGCAUUAGGAUCUCGGCAGCAAACGUCAAGAGCCCAUUUUGGAAGCUGUGUCUUAUAAGACCAAUCUUUGCUCUCAUAUUUUAAAGCAUGUAACCAGAUUCCUAAUUCCUCUGGGGAUGGAUCACUAUAAAGUGGAGUACCGCACUCGGAACAGUGUUUACCAGUUAAUAGCUCCCCGAGGCGUUUGUCUCUACGGGCCUUGGCCUCUGCCUCUGUUUCAUUUGUAUACCACUCAUAUUGCAAGAGUGGAGAAGCAGUUUCAGUUUUACCGAUUUCGGAAAGUCGCAUAAUUACAGAUUCAUUGCUGCCUUCUCCAUUCUUCCCUAAAGAAGGACCCCAUACCCUUUUAUUCGCGUAUAUAGGAUCAUUAGCAAUAGGAUAACCAAGAUACUGUAGAUGAACCCGUAAUUGGUGAGUCCUUCCGGUCAGUGGUUUACAAAGCACGAGGGAUGUGUGUCCAUCAAACGCAAUUCUUUUGAAAACGGUGCUGGCCUCCUUUCCAUCCGGAUGGAUCCUAUUUAAACCUAAAGUAGGUGCAACAGUAAGUAACGGAGCAUCGCAAAUUACUUCACCAGAAUUGGGGAACUCUCCUAUUACUCUAGCAACAUAUUCUUUUUUCAGGCUUUUGCUAAUCAUAUGGACGCGCAUUUCUUCAGCGGCUUUAGGACUCUUACUAAAGAACAUCAGACCAGAAGUUAAUCUGUCUAAUCUAUUGCAAGGAUAUAACAGAGAACAUUUGUUUUCUUUCAUCAAAAUAUGUAAAACAGUAUUGUGAUUAUAGCGACCUGUAGGAUGCACUGGAACACCAGCAGGUUUGUCAAUAACAACAUAAGAUUCAUCUUCAUGGACUAUGCCUACUGGUUGGUCAGAAACUGGUGGUUCAUGACGAUGCGCAUGAUGGGAAACUAUGUAUCCAUUUUCAAUCAAUGUGUCAACGUUACCAAUCUGAUUGUUUACCUUAACUUGACCAUUGCGUAUUGCCUUUUCAUAAUAACCAGAUUCCCUGUCCCUAAAUUCGGUAUUGAAAACCUCUAAAAGAGUUUUACCGUACCACCUCAGCUUCGCGAAGGUAAUGUAUUCAUAAUAGUAGGGAGGGACUCGCCGUAGCCCGUCGCCUUUAAAAACGUAUUCACAAUCUUUCAAAGGAUCUCUUUUAGGUCUUUUUAACAUCCCCUUAGACCACAAGCGAAUGGUUGAGUUUAAUCCGCUAAUGGUGGAAGUGAAAAUCUAAGUCGCGGUUGGCAAAGGAGUGUAGUUGUCUUGGUAUUAUUCUCGUACUCACUCAACCUGUGGAUAACAAUACUUAUAGUGUUCAGCUACUCAAAAGUAUUUAUGGUAUUUAAAAAAUUUUUACUACAUGCUCUUUGUUGUUAAUAAGAAGACUUUCGAAAGUGAAUAAUAUAGGUGUCUAUUCAAGAAAAGUUCGAAAUCUUUGAAUUAACCAGCAUUACCUUAAUAAAAAGUGCGUAUAAAGCUUCAAACUUUUCAUAAUUCAAAAAUUCUUUCGAAUAACCUGUUCUCAAUUUGAAAUCUAUAAAUAGGAGAAGAAUGGAUAAAAAUAGGUAAAAAAAUAAACAAACCUAUUAGUCGAUGAUAUUUUAUACUGGGAACGGCUAUGAAUUCAUAGAAACCUUUUCGAGAAUACUUAGAAACUUAUCCCUUAUUUUUAUAGCCAGCUCAUGAGUUUGUUCGGUGUUCCCAUCAUCAAAAAUAGAGAGGGAAAACGAACAUGGACCAUCUGCUACUGUUAUAACAUUUAGUACAAAAGGUGCAGAAAGACUGGAACAAGGUUGUGCAAAUGCCAUAUUCUUGAUUUUUACCGACGAAUCGGCGGGAAAGCUAAAAUACCCCAAAUUAGAUAUUUCAGCCGUAUUUCCUCUAGUUUUUUCACAAGAUUUUAAAAGGUAGUCUUCAAUAUCAAUAUAACUUAGCAAUCCAAUUUGUUGAGACAUCUCCCUAGGAUUGCUAAGCGCUGCUUUUAAUCGAUGCGAAAACUCAGUUGCUAAAUCUACCAUGGUAUGUUUAUAGUCCUCCUGACGCUGACUUGGCUGAAAACCGUUUAGAUGAUGAACGUAAGAAAACACAUAGUUUCCCAUGGUUUGCUUGGCUACGGGCAAAAAACGGCGCGCAUUCACAUCAAUGAGCAUAUCUAGGUUAACUUUACCAUUUUUAGCAAUAGCAUAAUAUAUACUGAGCAUAAAGACAGAAUAAAAAAUCGAAGUGAAAGAAGCGUCUAUGUUUUUUGAGAGUUGCUUGAUGUUUUUAACAACAGCAUUAGAAAUUGAAAAGAAUAUUGUAUGCGAUGAAAAUGGACGCACUGGAGCAUGACCUUUAUAAGAAGGAGACCGAAAGCCCUUAGAGAACGGAAGUCCAGAGUUUGUCCAUAGUGCUUUCAUUAGACAAAACCAUGAAGGAUGAACAUCUAUUAGUUUUUCAAGAUUUUUAGGAAGUGGUAAUUCUGAUACUGGCACGGUUGAAGAUGAAAAAUUUGUUUUGGACAUUUGUAAUCCUUCCAAAACAUAUUUAUGAAACAAAGGGCCACUUCCUCCGUCGAAAAGGGAGUGAUCAUAUAUAAAAACUAAUUCGGACUUAUCAUUUAGUACAUAGACCAUCCAAAGAGGAAGUGUCUCAUCGUCAUAACAUAGCUUAAAAUUUUGAAGAGCGUUAUUGCAGAAGCUAUCAACUUUCUGAUCAUCAGCAUAUUUAACGACCUUAUCAAGGUCUAUUGUUUUCAACUUCUUUACAAUGGGAAUUUUGCUAUGACAAUUGUGGAUCCUAGCACCUAGCAUCGGUUGAUUGACAAUUGCAUGAUAUACUGCUGGAUAUAAAACUGUCGAAUCGAGCGAAAUAGAGUAAGUUGCAGAAACAAUUACUAUAGAAAACAUAUUUAAGACAUUCCUCUUGACGGAAUAAAUUUCCAACCGUCCUGUAGACAUUAGUAAGAAAAUGAUUAGAAAAUCGAAGAAAUGUUAAACAUAAUUACCA
Schizosaccharomyces pombe (fission yeast) is the source of this 4062-nucleotide non-coding RNA. The record is from the annotation of a GenBank genome assembly. NCBI's taxonomy places the organism in Eukaryota, Fungi, Ascomycota, Schizosaccharomycetes, Schizosaccharomycetales, Schizosaccharomycetaceae.